RNAcentral lists this ribosomal RNA (451 nucleotides) under HMWdDNA-degrading marine bacterium 55. Its description in RNAcentral is "bacterial SSU rRNA". It matches the Rfam family "Bacterial small subunit ribosomal RNA", at positions 12 to 468 of the family's 1533-position model. The record is from RNAcentral. RNAcentral also lists the same sequence under 1 other name.
UUUGAUCCUGGCUCAGAUUGAACGCUGGCGGCAGGCCUAACACAUGCAAGUCGAACGGUAACAUUUCUAGCUUGCUAGAAGAUGACGAGUGGCGGACGGGUGAGUAAUGCUUGGGAACUUGCCUUUGCGAGGGGGAUAACAGUUGGAAACGACUGCUAAUACCGCAUAAUGUCUUCGGACCAAACGGGGCUUAGGCUCCGGCGCAAAGAGAGGCCCAAGUGAGAUUAGCUAGUUGGUAAGGUAACGGCUUACCAAGGCGACGAUCUCUAGCUGUUCUGAGAGGAAGAUCAGCCACACUGGGACUGAGACACGGCCCAGACUCCUACGGGAGGCAGCAGUGGGGAAUAUUGCACAAUGGGGGAAACCCUGAUGCAGCCAUGCCGCGUGUGUGAAGAAGGCCUUCGGGUUGUAAAGCACUUUCAGUUGUGAGGAAAAGUUAGUAGUUAAUACC